GUGCCAGCCGCCGCGGUAAUACAGAGGGUGCAAGCGUUAAUCGGAUUUACUGGGCGUAAAGCGUGCGUAGGUGGUCUUUUAAGUCGGAUGUGAAAUCCCUGAGCUUAACUUAGGAAUUGCAUUCGAUACUGGGAGACUAGAGUAUGGGAGAGGAUGGUAGAAUUCCAGGUGUAGCGGUGAAAUGCGUAGAGAUCUGGAGGAAUACCGAUGGCGAAGGCAGCCAUCUGGCCUAAUACUGACACUGAGGUACGAAAGCAUGGGGAGCAAACAGGAUUAGAUACCCCCGUAGUCC
Molecule: ribosomal RNA, 292 nt
Filed under: uncultured bacterium
Lineage: Bacteria
Description: partial 16S ribosomal RNA
Rfam family: Bacterial small subunit ribosomal RNA
Source: RNAcentral